This 73-nucleotide transfer RNA is filed under the name Blautia obeum. RNAcentral describes it as "tRNA-Val". It matches the Rfam family "tRNA". Rfam says of the family: Transfer RNA (tRNA) molecules are approximately 80 nucleotides in length. Their secondary structure includes four short double-helical elements and three loops (D, anti-codon, and T loops). Lineage: Bacteria; Bacillati; Bacillota; Clostridia; Lachnospirales; Lachnospiraceae. The record is from RNAcentral.
GGGGGCUUAGCUCAGCUGGGGGAGCAUCUGCCUUACAAGCAGAGGGUCAUAGGUUCGAGCCCUAUAGGCCCCA